This 3475-nucleotide ribosomal RNA is filed under the name Drosophila persimilis. Its description in RNAcentral is "eukaryotic LSU rRNA". It matches the Rfam family "Eukaryotic large subunit ribosomal RNA". The record is from RNAcentral. Lineage: Eukaryota; Metazoa; Arthropoda; Insecta; Diptera; Drosophilidae.
UUAAGCAUAUUAAUUAGGGGAGGAAAAGAAACUAACCAGGAUUUUCUUAGUAGCGGCGAGCGAAAAGAAAUCAGUUCAGCACUAAGUCACUUUGUCUAUAUGGCAAACGUGAGAUGCAGUGUAUGGAGCGUCAAUAUUCUAGUAUGAGAAAUUAACGAUUUAAGUCCUUCUUAAAUGAGGCCAUUUACCCAUAGAGGGUGCCAGGCCCGUAUAACGUUAAUGAUUACUAGAUGAUGUUUCCAAAGAGUCGUGUUGCUGAUAGUGCAGCACUAAGUGGGUGGUAAACUCCAUCUAAAACUAAAUAUAACCAUGAGACCGAUAGUAAACAAGUACCGUGAGGGAAAGUUGAAAAGAACUCUGAAUAGAGAGUUAAACAGUACGUGAAACUGCUUAGAGGUUAAGCCCGAUGAACCUGAAUAUCCGUUAUGGAAAAUUCAUCAUUAAAGUUGUAAUAUUUUAACAUAUUAUAAUAAUAGUGUGCAUUUUUUCCAUAUAAGGACAUUGUAAUCUAUUAGCAUAUAACAAAUUUAUCAUAAAAUAUGACUUAUAGUUUAUUCAAAUUAUUAUGCUUGCAUUUUAACAUAGAAUAAAUGUCAUUAAUUUGAUAAAGUGUUGAUAAAUUAAAAUUAAUACAGUGCGUUAAUUUUUCGAAAUUAUAUAAUGGCAUAAUUAUCAUUGAUUUUUGUGUUUAUUAUAUGCAUUUGUAUGAUUAACAAUGCGAAAGAUUCAGGAUACCUUCGGGACCGUCUUGAAACACGGACCAAGGAGUCUAACAUAUGUGCAAGUUAUUGGGAGAUAAACCUAAUAGCGUAAUUAACUUGACUAAUAAUGGGAUUAGUUUUUUAACUAUUUAUAGAUAAUUAACACAAUCCCGGGGCGUUCUAUAUAGUUAUGUAUAAUAAUAUUUAUAUUAUUUAUGCCUCUAACUGGAACGUACCUUGAGCAUAUAUGCUGUGACCCGAAAGAUGGUGAACUAUACUUGAUCAGGUUGAAGUCAGGGGAAACCCUGAUGGAAGACCGAAACAGUUCUGACGUGCAAAUCGAUUGUCAGAAUUGAGUAUAGGGGCGAAAGACCAAUCGAACCAUCUAGUAGCUGGUUCCUUCCGAAGUUUCCCUCAGGAUAGCUGGUGCAUUUUAAUGUUAUAUAAAAUAAUCUUAUCUGGUAAAGCGAAUGAUUAGAGGCCUUAGGGUCGAAACGAUCUUAACCUAUUCUCAAACUUUAAAUGGGUAAGAACCUUAACUUUCUUGAUAUGAAGUUUAAGGUUAUGAUAUAAUGUGCCCAGUGGGCCACUUUUGGUAAGCAGAACUGGCGCUGUGGGAUGAACCAAACGUAAUGUUACGGUGCCCAAAUUAACAACUCAUGCAGAAACCAUGAAAGGCGUUGGUUGCUUAAAACAGCAGGACGGUGAUCAUGGAAGUCGAAAUCCGCUAAGGAGUGUGUAACAACUCACCUGCCGAAGCAACUAGCCCUUAAAAUGGAUGGCGCUUAAGUUGUAUACCUAUACAUUACCGCUAAAGUAGAUGAUUUAUAUUACUUGUGAUAUAAAUUUUGAAACUUUAGUGAGUAGGAAGGUACAAUGGUAUGCGUAGAAGUGUUUGGCGUAAGCCUUCAUGGAGCUGCCAUUGGCACAGAUCUUGGUGGUAGUAGCAAAUAAUCGAAUGAGACCUUGGAGGACUGAAGUGGAGAAGGGUUUCGUGUGAACAGUGGUUGAUCACGAGUUAGUCGGUCCUAAGUUCAAGGCGAAAGCCGAAAAUUUUCAAGUAAAAAAUCAGUGAGUAAUAUUGUCAAAUCUUUUAUGAUUUUUAAAUACUUGAAUAAUUUUGAACGAAAGGGAAUACGGUUCCAAUUCCGUAACCUGUUGAGUAUCCGUUUGUUAUUAAAUAUGGGCCUCGUGCUCAUCCUGGCAACAGGAACGACCAUAAAGAAGCCGUCGAGAGAUAUCGGAAGAGUUUUCUUUUCUGUUUUAUAGCCGUACUACCAUGGAAGUCUUUCGCAGAGAGAUAUGGUAGAUGGGCUAGAAGAGCAUGACAUAUACUGUUGUGUCGAUAUUUUCUCCUCGGACCUUGAAAAUUUAUGGUGGGGACACGCAAACUUCUCAACAGGCCGUACCAAUAUCCGCAGCUGGUCUCCAAGGUGAAGAGUCUCUAGUCGAUAGAAUAAUGUAGGUAAGGGAAGUCGGCAAAUUAGAUCCGUAACUUCGGGAUAAGGAUUGGCUCUGAAGAUUGAGAUAGUCGGGCUUGAUUGGGAAACAAUAACAUGGUUUAUGUGCUCGUUCUGGGUAAAUAGAGUUUCUAUCAUUUAUGGUAGUUACUUGUUCCCCGGAUAGUUUAGUUACGUAGCCAAUUGUGGAACUUUCUUGCUAAAAUUUUUAAGAAUACUAAUUGGGUUAAACCAGUUAGUUCUUAUUAAUUAUAACGAUUAUCAAUUAACAAUCAAUUCAGAACUGGCACGGACUUGGGGAAUCCGACUGUCUAAUUAAAACAAAGCAUUGUGAUGGCCCUAGCGGGUGUUGACACAAUGUGAUUUCUGCCCAGUGCUCUGAAUGUCAAAGUGAAGAAAUUCAAGUAAGCGCGGGUCAACGGCGGGAGUAACUAUGACUCUCUUAAGGUAGCCAAAUGCCUCGUCAUCUAAUUAGUGACGCGCAUGAAUGGAUUAACGAGAUUCCUACUGUCCCUAUCUACUCGAGUUGCUUUUUGACUGCCAUUCGAAGCAGACGUGUUUUUCAAGCGGUCCGCUAUACCGUCGUUCGAAUUAAGUAAAAAGUGAUUUUUCCAAGUGGAAAAUAUAUCAAAAUUGCCGCGAGAUCACGCGCUGUUCGUGAGUGAAAUCGGGUGUUAAUUUGGUGAAAGAACAAAGCAGAUAUUUGCAAAUUAAUAUUUGCAAAAUAAACGCUAAAAACAACCACGUGCGGAACCCUAGUUCGUAAACAAGUGCGAAUAGUUCGACAACAAGUCGGAAUAGUUCGACAGCACGUUCGAGUUCGAAGCUUUGGUUCGAAGCUUUGGCUCGAGUUCGAAGCGUUCGGUUCGUGUCUCCGCUGAGAAGUUGGUUCGAGUCUCCACUAAGUGCCGAUUAGUUGAGUCACGCCAAUAGAGGUAGCCACAACCGCCGGGCUAUGGAAAUAGAGACGGAGGCCGACGCCAGCGACACUAGCGUGGCUAGUGUAGGGGCGAGCUCGUCGUCGAGCGUUCCCGCCCGCAGGCGGGGUCGGCCGAAGUCCUCAGCCGCCAAACAGGGAGCCAAAAAGAUCGGGCUUGGGAUUGGGCUAGCUGGAGAGCGGCCGAUCCCAGCCGAGAGAUCGCCGCCAACGUCGCUCCCCUUUGAGCAGGCUCCAUCCACCUCUGCCGCUGCCGCUGCCACCACCGCUGCCAGUACUUCUGCCGCCGCUGCCGCCACCGCUGCCGCCACCGCUGCCGCCACCGCUGCCACCACCGCUGCCACCACCGCUGCCACAUGCCCGGCAACUGACAUUGU